Venturia canescens is the source of this 725-nucleotide long non-coding RNA. RefSeq lists it as uncharacterized. Lineage: Eukaryota; Metazoa; Arthropoda; Insecta; Hymenoptera; Ichneumonidae. The transcript has 3 exons. The record is from RefSeq and is a predicted model, not a curated record.
UCAGAGAAAAGAUAGUCUCGGCGAGAGCCUCAGGCCAGCAGACGACAGGGCUGUCAAUGUACUUGUCCCGAGACUCUACCGAGUCUCUUGAUUCAGUGAAGAGAACAAGUGUAAUAGAGGAACCUCGUGCAAAUCACUAAUUGACAGUGUGGCGGACAAGAAACUUUUAUCGAGGUAUCUAGAAUUUGUGUUCUGCAGAAGUAUGUGAGGAUAAUCGAAUUCCUUGCGAGACACAGGAAAAAGGAAGAAAUUCGUAAUUGCAUAUCAAGUUUUCAGCUUCAAAAUGUAUAUUGAGUCGACGCGCUAUUGUGAUCGAGGACCGUGCAAUCUUCAAACUUACUUCUAAUUGGUUAUUGUACGAGCUCGUCCUUACGUGGAUCAGUGUUAGUGGCUGCAUCAUCAGUAUAGAGAUGUUACAUACACGCGCCCAAAAUUACUGCCUACGAAAAUCGAAUGUUGGUGUAGAUUUUAAAGGGAUCGAGAUGUGAGCGUAGAGCCGGAAAACAGAAAAGGUUUCGACACCGUCAAUAUGGACGAGACUAUAUAGAGCUUACAUUAACGAGGAUUUGUUAGCGCCGGUCCUACCAACGAUGCCAAUUUUCUCAUGCGGCUUCAACACGCACGUGCUACAAUUGAAUCACACAAUUAGCAAAGUGUAUUCUAUUUUCGAAAAAAUCUUGUUUAGUAAAUUUAGGUCCAAUAAACAAUGGUACGUCGACCAAAAA